AUCUCUCUCUCUCUCUCUCCCUCCUCUCUCCCUCCUCUCUCCACAUGAAGUGUAACCAUGUUUAUUCAGAGCAAUGGACUCGGAGGAGGAUACAUACGCUUACUAAAAACCAAGAGAAUUAGCGUACGAAAACUAAAGCAGACAAACGAAGCGGAUAGCGUGCUACUUAUCUCUCUCAAAAAAUAAAUAAAUAAAUAAAUAAAGCGGACACAUGAAAACUUGUAUAUAUAUGUGAUAAAUUACCUCUAAAGCAUAUCUUUAAUCUAUACUAUAUAAUGAUCACGAACGAUAUAAUUAAGCAAACGAGGAAACUCUUAUGUACAUGCGAAGUGUGAGUAACUAAGAAGGAAUUAACUACCAUUAAUAAUUACUCAUAGAUAGACCACAUAUUUAAUUAACUAAGCAAACAUUAACAGAAUCCAUUCCCUACUCUCUCCCUCUCUCUCUCUUCUUUCUCCUCUAUAUCAAUCCACAGAGCAAAUCCAUGGCUCCACCAUACCUUCGCCUCUCGCCGCCACUGCCACCGCCGAGGCCACGCUCUCUGCCGACACCUUCUCCACCACAAACUCCGCCGCCGCCGCCGCCGCCGCCGCUGCCGCUGUAGUAUAGUUCAUCUUGCAACUGCCCACCGGCCCAUUUGCGGCCCAACCCGUAGGCCCAUUAAGCGCUGGGGGGAGGCCCAUCACCCCGGGCCCGUACUCGGUAGGUGGUGGGGGGAGCAGUGCUGGGGAUUGGAGGAGGGAUUGGAAUGUGAGAAUAGGGUUUUGGAGGUGGAGAGGCACCACUAAUGGAGUUGAAGCAGCGGCAGUAGUAGCAGUGGCGAUAGAAGAAGCUGAGGAAGAAGAAGAAGAGAAGGGGCGGAGGAGGUAAUUGUUGGAAGGGUUUAGGGAGGAGUAGGAGGAGGAGGAGGAGGAGGGUGCAAAUAUACUUAUUUUGAACGGGAAAUAAUUAAUUCUUUUUAUGAAUUAUAUAGGUGUUCGGAUACAGUGGCUAACCGAAAUCCCAAAUAGUGAUUGUUUUCUUUGGGUGCUAAUAUGCUAAACCGUUCAAUAACGUUUUAAAUGUUAACUCAUAAUAAUAAGUAUAUAGUACGUCUUUUAUAUAUAAAACUAGAAAUUUUUUGUAUACAUGAUACAUAAAUUUAUAGUGUUAACAGUGUGUAGUGCUCAAAACUUUUGAAGUCGUAGUGUAACAAGACUUUUAAUUUAGUUGUUGUGCAGAUUAUUACAUCCACAUUGAAUUAAAUCCAAGAGAUUUUAUUGUUUUCCGAGAUACAUUUAUCCUACCACGUACCACGCGGUCCACCUACCUUAUUAAAUAAAAGAGAAAGAGAUGAAACAGGACGAGCAGUGGCAGAGGAAACGUUGGUUGGGUAACCUCCUAGAAAGUUUCGCCUUUGCGCCCGAGUAUGUGUGUUGUUGUUGUUGUUGUUGUUGUGGGAUGUGGUGUUGCGUUGGGUUGGGGUUGGGGAAAUUAAUGUGGGGAGAGGGAGUAAUACAUGAGGGGGAGAGAGAGAGGUAGAGGAAGAGAGAGAGAGAGAGAGAGAGAGAGAUCUGUAUGUGUGUUUGUGUUCUUCGUGCAUUCUACCUGAGCCGGAGGCGGAAACUGAGGGAGCUGAUAGAGGAGGGGGUUGCGCUUGAGGGGAGAGGCCCCGGGCGGCGGCGUCGCUCGCGGCGCCGCCGCCGCCGCCGCCCCCGCGGCUCUCCCCCCUCUUUCGCCCGCGCGCGGAGCGCCGCGCGCGGCUGCUGCCACGACUGUUGCCUACGGAGGUUGAAGGCCCGGUACCACGUCCUUAAAUGCCCUUAUGGGAGCGGAGGAAAGGGGUGGUGAAGCAGAAGAAGGAGGAGGAGGAGGGAGGUGGAUAAGAAUGGGGGAGCCGGGGAGAAGCUUGGUCAANNNNNNNNNNNNNNNNNNNNNNNNNUGCGCAUAGGUGUGCCUUAACUAGGGCUAGGUUGCGGAAGGCAGCAUACCUUGUCUACUCAGCGUCUAGUGCUUCUGCCACGAUCGUCAGAAGGCUACAGAUGCAAGGAAGAACACUUUUAAUAACACCUGAAUGCUUUCAAACUCUCUCUUCUUAUAAACUUAGGAUAAGUGCAGUUAAUUACUAUAGAGUAGUGGAAUUACUUCGGCGUCGAUUCGAUAUAUAUAUAUCGAGACGAAUUAAUUCCUCAUGGUUGUUUCUCGGCAUGCUUUGCCGAAGAAUUAACUCGGCAUAGAAUCCGGUCGGUAUAAACAACAUUGAUUAAUAUAAGUUUAUCAAUGUUAGGGUUAAACUAUUAAAAGUUAAUCAAUAUUAAGAUAUGAUAGACAACGUUGAUUAACCUAAUGUAGGUUGAUUCCUAAUGUAGGUUAAUCAACCUUGUAUCCUAUAAAAUAAUAGAGAGGGAAAUUAAUCUAGUAUAGAUAAUAUUGAUUUAUAAGAGAGGCCGGGCACGUGCGCGGCUAAUCGGAGGAUCAACUUCAACCGUACAGUAGAUCAAGAGACCUUAACUGGUCCAAGGUAAUGUAAUCUAAACUUCGGAUUUGUUUAGAUUAGAUUUUAUUUUACAUUGUAACAUGAGAAUGAUCCGCCGGCACUGGAUUGAUUUGUUUUGUUUUGUUUCAUAUGUGAUAUGGAUUUCGUUUUCGUUUUUCCGCUGCGAUUUUUUAAGUGCCGGAUAUAUUUUCUAACAUCUUUUCAGCUGCCGUAAAUUAUGUAUAUCUUUCUAUUAUUCAUAUUUCUCUUCUAAUUAAGUAGCAUUAUGUACGUAUAUUUGUAAGAUAUUACAAAAUUUAUUUAUAAGCACAAUAUUAUUCUGUUAGAACAUGUACACAGCAUGUAGUGAUGCAUUUGAUGCAGCUAAGAAUUUUCCAAGCGACAGAGCUUGUGUGUGAACUAGUAGUGGAGAUAAAAGAUUAAUGAAUCGAAUAAAGAAAAAGUAAAAGAGAAACAAAAAAAAGAAAAAAGAGGAGGACAAGGGGACAAAAGUGUGAAAAAGGAGAGGGAUUGGUCGCGAGGAAAACCAAAAAAGUAAAUCUUUUUCGAGCACACAAUCGAGAGGACAUAGAAGGGUUAAUGAGAAAGUUACCGACCCACGUUAAAUACUUUAUAAAGUUUAAAAUAGUUACCAAGCUAGGAAGUGUUAUAAUUAGAGCACAUUAAAAAAAAAAUAUAUAUAUAUAUAUAUAUAUAAAUUUUGGAUGUGUAAUUUUCCAUUUUAACAUGCAUACACGUAGUGGUAGAACCGUUUACACCGUUUAUCGAACCUAAAAAUUUUGGAUGUAUACCAAAAUUAAGAAGUUAAGAUAUACAAGCUGGAAAAAGUUUUAGUUUGAGCAUCAAUAAGAAAACUCGAGUCAAAACAUUAGAAUUCUAAUAAUACAAUGUCUCUAAAGUUUAGAGGAGUUUUGAUUUUGAGUCUCAACAUAAUUAAGGAACUUGAUUUAAUUACAAUAGGGUGUACAUAAUGAAUAAGCUUUCGAUUCUUAAAUAAAAAAUUAAAAAAAUUUGAAAUUAGACAGACCUGAUAUAUGGUUAACCAAGUGUGUUGACAAAAAAUUACAGUACAAAUGAUGAUCAAGAUUUGAAUUAAUUUUCUCUAGUUAUGUAUAAUUACAAUGUUCUAAGAAAUAUUUUGCAAUUUUUUAAACAAGAUUUAUUUAAUUAAGAUUACAAUGACUUGUUUAGUUAUAUUUAACUUGGCCUUUUUAAACUAUUACAAUGACUCUCUUUGUCUAGAUUGUAGAACCCAUACUUCAUUUCAGGUUUAAAGCAUUUUCUCUAUGCUCACUCACUAUCCGAUGCAAUUUUAUUUGUUCAAUUUCAUAAAAUUUUUAUUAGAUUUAAAUAAAAAAUGAUAUGAGUAGCAAAAAAAUGUGAGCCAUAAAAAAAUUGUUAGCAUAGAUGUAUGAAUAAAAUCACUCAAACUUUCCACAACUUCAGGUUAAUUUGGAAGGUUUAAUUGGUUGACCUAAGCACAGUUGAGUUUUUUUUAAAAUUUUUUUUUUUCUGUUUUUUGAACAAAAUGGUAGAUCCAUAACUCAAAAGACUUAUUAUUGAAGGUUUUUCUUUUUUCUUUUUUUUCCGCUCCUCACAGAGCCUGAAGCUCGAACACUCUACUAACAAACGCGCAAACGAAAAUCAAAUUUCCGACCUCGUGGAUCGGUACUCUCGUGGCUAGUGGUUGGACCUAAAGAACAUUGCGUGCAUAUUUUUAAUUCAUUCGCAUGCAGUUAAAUGCAAUUCAAUUAAUGGAGAAAAGGACACAUUUGAAAGGUGGUGGUCUCAGAUGCUGCAUCUAUAAAUAUAUCAUAGCUAUGAGGUUGUAUAUAAGAUAAUUUGUACCAAAAAAAAAAAAGAAGAAGCUACGUAUGGAUAUUAAACCAUCAUGACUAAUUAAACACCUAGGAGCUAAUUAAAACGUGAUUAUAAGGGCAAUAAAUUAAAACCCAAAAGAUUCCAAUUUGAAUUAUUGGAUCAUGAAUUGCCACAUAUAUAUAUAUUCUGGAUAUGAGUUUUUUUUUUUUUUUUAAAAAGUUGAUCAAUCAAUAGGCAAUAGCUAGUACAAUUGAUAGAAAUUUUUUAUGAGGUAGAAUCAUUACAUUAAUAAGGUGGAAACGUAUGGCCAUUCGAAAAUUGUUUCCUCAACUUUUAUUUUUGGAAUAAAGAUCUUAUUAACUUUUUAUUUUUUAAAAUGAAAUAAUUUUGCUAAAUAAAUUAGAAAUUUUACCAAAUUGAUUAGGGAUUUUAUCAAAUUUAAUAAUUUUAGCCACCUUUUAGUAAAUACAACAAGACAGUUAAUGGUUGAUAACGAUUAGAGUUAUUAAAAUUGAAAGAAAAAAUUAAGCUAAUGAAAUAUUAAAAUUUAAAUAAAAAAAAUUAAAAGUUAAGGGGGGCUCUCAAUCAAGCCACUAAUAGUAGCCCGAAAAAGAGACGCUGGAGGUUCAAAUCUCCACCUGUUCUUAGACAAGGCAGGUUGGUGAUUUAUAUUAAAAAUAAAAAAAUACUGAGAAUUUUGUGAAAUCUGAAAACUACGUACAAGCUAGAUAUUAAAAUAAAUAAAAAAAGAUGAGAUGCAUUAGUAAUUACUGAUUAAAUCCAUCCUACUCAAAAGAUUAUUAUUAUUAUACACAUUAAUUAAUAUUCAUCACUCAAAUUCAAAAAAAAAAAUAGCGUCACAUGACUUUGUCGUCGCCUUCUUCUUUUCGUGCAAAUAUUUUCUUCUAAAAAAAAUUAUGACCAAAUUGGCCCUCCGUUUUUAGUAUUUAUUAACUUAUGAAUUGGGAAACCGGAGGUUCCUGAGCCGUCACGUGGCGUGCGGGCGCGAGGGGGCAGCCGUGAGCAGGCGCGAGUGGGGCGGGCGAGCUGCCGCGGGCGCGCACGAGGGCGUGGGCGCGACCCCGCAUGAGGGGAGCUGGCGGGGCUCACGGGUGUCCCUACACGUGGUCCACGGGGCGGGCGGCUCAUGGUGGACCGGCUGAUGGAGGGGGUAGUGGACCCUGCCUGAGGGAGAGGGAGCCACUCCUAUCUCUCUCACUUUUUUGAAUUUUAAAAAAAACUUAAUUAUAGUAUUUUUUAUAAAAGUAAAUUAUUUAUAUCUAAAUAAUUAUAAAAUUAAAAUUAAUAUUUAAUACAUACAAUCUAAAAUAUUUAAAAAUUAAGCAUAAAUAAUUAUAUAUUAUAAAGUUUUAUUAUAAUUAAAACACAAACUUAUGAAUUUACAAUUUGACCCCGACCGGACUGAUUUUAUCCAAUUCAAUUAAUUUUUUUAUUAUAAAAAUUUAAAAUAUAUAAUUAUAUAUGUUAAAGUUUUCGCGUUAUUUUUCCUUUAAGCAGUUUAGACUUUAUAAAGUAAAAAAAAAUACCCCGUGCAUUGCCCGGGGCUUCCUUAACUAGUCUCUAUAAGUUUGCGAGUACAUGUAUUUGGUGAAGGCUCAACUAAACAAGCAUUAAUGAUGAUAUUACAUCAUCAUUAUCUUAAGAGUGAUAGCGACUCAAUAACCUACGCUCGUUGUAGUGCUCCAACUUCGAUCUUCUACGUCUUAUCAUUGUGCUUUUCAUGUUUGAUGGUUUCUUAAGCAACCAUUAAAGGAUGGGUCAGGCGAGAACAUCAUUUAAUACAAUUUAUAUCACUUGAGAGCGAAACCGCAUCAUUUGAAUGCCAUCGUAUGAUUAUUCCAAAGCCAUAAGUUUAACAAGACCAUAUUAUAAGAAUAAAAGCAAAUUAAUCAAAUAUAGUAAUUGGGCCACAGAUAUAUAACGCCAUAUGAGAGAUAAAUGGGCCGGGCCCUGUUAGGUCGAUCUCGGCCCAACAUGUGAACAAGCAAAUUGUUUGUUAGGUUAAAAAAAUGACCAAAAAAUUAAUAAACGCCGGUGUAUGGACCCGGUGCAUGGAAUUAUUUCUUUUGUCAUUAGCUCACGUGCAAAACCAACAAGUCAACACGUGUCUAUGCAUCACAUUGCUAUAUAUAUAUAUAUAUAUAUAUAUAUAUAUAUAUNGUAUGUUAUAGAUAUUAUAUAUAUAUAAUAUAAUAACCACUGCUGUUUCUGCAAUCCAAAAUAAAAUAUUUUAUUCAAAAAAUAUUUAUUUUUCUAGAAUUUUUCUUUUUUAAAAAAUACUAUUAAAAAAUACAAUAUAAUUUUUAACAAUUUUUGUUUGCUGUAAACAUUGCAUUACUCCCGCUUUAUACCCGUCGCCCCUUUUGGCACCCACACGCGUCACUCGCCCCGCGCACGUGCCAGUCUCUUUGUUUCCGUGCUAUAAACCGCCGCUUAUUCAGCUCGCUUGGCACCCGCACGUGUCACUGGCCCAUGCACGUCUCAGGCUCCUUUGUUUGCUGUGCUACAUAUAAAGCUCCAAAUGUCCCUCACAUUCGUAGUAAUUAAACCACAGGUGCAUGCUUUUUCAUCAAGAAAAAAGUGCUUAAGCUUAAGCUUUUUUGAGGUUGAGAUAAGAAACGAGGGCUCAACAUGUUAAGGAGAAAAGGAGCAGUUCUCAUGAACUGGUUCAAGGAUGGUGUGCUGAACAAAGCAAGUGGUUUGCUAAGGGAGAAGGAGCAGAUGGAUAAGAACUUCCCUGUGUUGAAGGGCCACCCGAAGGCGCGAAAGCACGCCAAGGAGGCCGUCGAGAGCUACGCGAAGCUCGGUGCGAGAGCGGCGGAGGAGAAGGUGAUGAAGGGAGCGGAGGAGACUAAGGCGUCGAAGGAGUUCAAGAUCUAUAGGUGGAACCCUGAGAAGCCACAUAACAAGCCAUUUCUCCAAUCUUACUAUGUUGACUUAACCACUUGUGGCCCCAUGGUACUCACAAAAAAAAAAAAAAAAAAAAAAACUUUUCCCUAUUUUUAUUUGAAAAUGAGAUUGGGAUCGAGCUGAAAAAUCAUGUGCGAGAAUUAUUUAAUUUCUAAUUAAAUUGAAGAUAAAUUAAGGAUUUGGUGUGAUUUUGACUCAAACUUUACUGUAGUGAUGUCAUGUUUAGUAAUACGAACCAUUCAUUUUAUCAUUAAAAGUUUAAACUUAAAUAAUUAGAGAAUAAUGUUUUUAAUAUUACUGUCAAACUCAUGAUAUCCUGCUAUAUUGAUACUAUGCAAAGCUAUUAAUUUUUUCCUUUACAAAACUUUUAAGUUGGUAGUGAUUAAUAUUUUAAUAUUUUCUACAUAACAAAGUGCAACUAUAUAUUUAGUUUCUAAAAUUUAAUCCCAAAUUCACUGCAUAGAAUUUAUUCUCAACAAGUAAAUUCAUCGAGUCUGAUUAUUGUUCUAUAUAUCAAAAUCGACUCUGACAAUACCAUUUUCUUUUUAAUUGCUGAAAAGUAAUGGUCGUUCCUGAAACAAGGGGAUUGCAUAGAAUUUAUUCAUAACAGCAAGUCUGAUUAUUGUUCUAUAUAUCCCAAAAGCUUACGAUAAGGUUAGAUGGUCGUUCCUGAAAAGUAUACUACGUUGGCUGGGUUUCAGCGAUAAAUGGUGGUCCUGGAUAGAACAAUGUAUCUGUAAUGCUAAACUUGCCAUCCUUUUAAACGACGCGCCGACAACGUGGCUGAAAACUAGAAAGGGAUUGAGACAAGGGGACCUGCUCUCCCCAUAUGUAUUCAUCUUGGUGGCUGAUUGUCUGACCAGAAUUACAGAAACAGCCAGGGGUAACAGUUUGCUCGAAGGGAUAGGGCCAACUGUCGACUGUCAGACUGUGAUCUUGCAAUACGCGGAUGACACAUUAUUCUUUUCGGAGCCAAAGAAGUCGAAUAUGCGAAACUUGCUGUUCAUCUGGAAGUUAUUCGAAUGGGCCUCGGGUCUCAAGAUAAAUACAAACAAAACGGAACUCCAUUAUGUCGGCCACGACUCGAGUAAAGAAACUAGACUUGCGGAGAUUCUGGGGUGCAAAGUAGGCAACCUACCGUUCCGCUAUCUGGGGUUGCCGCUUCACAUCAAGUCUCUUCGACGGGUAGACUGGGCCCCUCUAAUAACUCGUAUAGAGGAGCGUAUAGAAGGUUGGAAAGCAAAGUUACUAUCUUAUGGGGGAAGAAUCACCCUGGUAAACUCGGUGCUCACGAACAUACCCCUAUUCUACUUAGCUAUCUUCAAAGCGCCACAAUGGGUACUAAAACGAAUCGAAGCCCUUAGGAGAUCCUUCUUUUGGAAAGGGUGCGCCAAAAUCUCUGGAGGUGCAUGCCUAAUUGCCUGGAAGUCGAUAUGCAAAAGCAAAAUUGAAGGGGGGUUGGGGAUUAAAGACAUGGAAGCAAUGAAUACGGCGCUGCUAACCAAAUGGUGGUGGCGUUUUUUUUAAUGAGCCGCAGCUACUUUGGGGGAAACUAAUCAUGGCGUUAUAUUACACGAGAAGAAGGCCAUUGAGUGAAGGAAGAUCCUUCAGGCCUUACUCUCAGUGGUGGAGAAGUGUGAUGAGUUGUCGAGAGGUCUUCAAAUGUGGUACUUCAUUUAAACUCGGAGACGGGCAAAAUAUCAAGUUGUGGUCAGAUAUUUGGAUCGGCGAAAUCCCUCUGAGGACCCUAUUUUCCGGAAUUUACUCCAGAUUAGUGAACAACAUGGCCACGGUUGCACAAUGCUGGAAUGAAAGAGGUUGGAGAUGGCGAUUUAUAACUAGAGGCCUAGCAACAUAUACUGACAUCGAUACUCGACAACAAGUCAGGGCGCUCAAAAACCUUCUUUCGACAUACGGCCCAACUGACACACCGGAUAUGCUAAGGUGGAGAUGGACAUCCAACCAAAUAUUUUCAGUUAAGUCCCUGUAUGGCUUCAUCACUGACGCAGGUCUGAGAGACCCGACUGGGGACCACCUGUGGAACUUAAAAAUCCCGACCAAAAUCAAAAUUUUCGUCUGGAUCUUAAUCCGUAAGCGGCUACUGACUGCGGAUAGAUUGAUUCGUCGUGGGUGUCAGGUGGAUCCGCUUUGUAUGUUUUGCGCAGUGCUUCCGGAAAGUUGUGAUCACCUGUUCAGGGAGUGCGUUCUGGUCAAAUAUCUCUUUAUCAGCGCGUGGGGCCCGCCUUACACUGAACCAGUUAUUGGGGAUGUCAGAAGCGUGUGGUUACAGACGGCUAACUCCCCCAAUGCCGAGGUGAGAAGACGGAGUCUCACACGGUUGGUGGCAAUCUGGUGGGUAGUUUGGACGGAGAGAAACAAAUACGUCUUCCACGAGACGAGUCCAGACGCUAUCCGGGCCCUACAGCGAGUUGAAGCGUUGAUCAAAGCCUGGACAAACGUUUCCUAACCGGUGAAUGUUCUUCCUGCAUCGCGUUGAACGUGUACUUCUUGGGUACCUACCUACCUAACUACUAUCCCAGUUUUACUACGUUGUUUUGGUAAGUACACUGGGGUUAUUUUUGUUUUUCUUUGGCUUUUUUUGCUCCGUCUUUUGUUUUGGUUUUCCUUUAGGAGGCCCUGGCUGCCUUCACUUUGUAAGCCAAGUUCAUUUUGCCUAAUAAAUGAAGCAGGUAGCUUGCUACCUUUCUCUCAAAAAAAAAAUUGCUAGCUAGGCUAAUGAAAGGACGUAAUUAUUAGGACACAUUUUUAUAUAAAUUGCUAAAUUUGAAAAAGAAAAAAAAAAGUUUGAAAUUAUAUAAAAAAAAAUAACGUAAUUGUAAAUGUGAACUAUAUGCAGGUCCUGGAUGUGCUUCAGAAGAUCAAAGCAGAGCAGGACUCAACGCUGAGCUACAGGAGAUCAUGCAGAGAAGGGAUCUGCGGCUCGUGCUCGAUGAACAUCGACGGCGUCAACACGGUCGCAUGUCUCAAACCCGUCGACACCGCCGCUUCGAGGGCUACCAUGAUCACCCUUCUCCCUCACAUGUUCGUCGUCAAAGACCUCGUCGUCGAUCUCACCAACUUCUACCAGCAAUACAAGUAAGAGUCCCACAUUGCAAGAAGAAAUGCAUGAACCUUAAUACUAAACUACGUUAGCUAUGUGAGCUAUUAUCUGAUCUUAUGACAUGUUUGAUUUAGUAUGUCUCCGCCGCAAAAUGUAAACUAUAUAUAAUUGGAUUGAAUGUUGUGUUGAUGGUCGAUUGAGCCAUGGCUAAAGGCGAGGAAGCCGCCUCCGAACGGGCGAGAGUACAUUCAGCUACCGAGCGAGAGGAAGAAGCUCGACGGGCUGUACGAAUGCAUUCUAUGCGCGUGCUGCAGCACCGCCUGUCCGGCCUACUGGUGGAACUCCGAGGAGUUCCCGGGCCCGGCCGCGCUGCUCCAAGCCUACCGGUGGGUGUCUGAUAGGUAAGUUUAAGUGUCUAUUUGGUCCUACUUUUCUGAUACAGUAAUGUAAGAUCAGAAAUCAGGGUAUAUGUCUCGUGAAAUGUGUGUUUUGUUUUUCGCGAAGCCGUGACGAUUUUACGGAGGAGAGGAUACAGGCGAUGACGGAGGAUGAGAAGCGGCUGUACAGGUGCAGGACUAUAAGGAGUUGCACGGCGACUUGCCCGAAAAGUUUGGACCCGGCUAGGGCUAUUUCUGCAAUGAGGACUGCUCACCAGCUUCACUAGGCUCAAACUCGGUAUGAGGGGUUGCAGAGGAAUUUGAGUUUUUGGAUGACAUGAUUGUAAGAUUUUAUGUAACUGAAAAAGAGUUGGCAGGCUAGGAGAGCAGUAUGUUGUGUAAUUUUUGUCUUUCUAAAAAAAUUUCAAUUGAUAAAAUGAAUGAUGUGUGGAUUAGUGUCUUUUUUUUUUUUUUUUUUUAGAGAGAAAGGCUAUCUUUUUCGUUUAUUCAGUACAACAAAAACGGUAUAUAGCGACACUUUUAAAUGUAGGUACAUGUCAAAAAAAGUGCUGCUAGCUAAAAUUACCGACACUUUUAAAAAAUAUUGCUAUAUGUGGGGUCGUUAGGUAUAUAGUGACAGUUAAAGAGUGUCGCUAUAACCUAAAAGAGUGUUGCUAAUUUACCAACACUUAUUUAAGCAUUUAGCAACCGCCGAAAUUCUAUCUCGUUGGCUACAGUGGAGGAGGAGGACGGCAGGAAAGGCUCUUCGUCUAGAAUUUCAGUGGAUUGAGUGAAGAGAGAAGAAAAGAUGGUAAUUAAUUUUUCUUUUUUUUUCUUUUCUGUUUAUAAUCGGGCCAAAUGGACUGGGUGUGGUGGGUUGAGUAGAGUAAUCUUUUAUUUUUGAUUGGAUUGGGCUUUAUAUUUAGACAUUGGUAGAUGUUUUUUUAAGUUUUAGUAUAAAUGGAACACUUACUCAAAAGUGUCCCAAACAUGUGUCCCUAUAAUCUAAUUCUGUUGUAGUGAUUUUUUUAUAAAAUAAAUUUAGUUAAAAAUACAGAAUAAUUAAAAUUUGAAUUUACAAUCUCGAAUAUUAAUUAUUAAGUUCUGUUGUCAUUCUUGCUAGGACAUAAUCAAUAAAGUCCAAAAUGAAUCCAACGAAGUUGGGAAAGAAUCUUGGAAACAUUUUUUUGGAUUAGAGUGAUAGGAAAGAAACUAGGAAACAUUUUUUUGGAUUAGAGUGAUAAGCCAGGGUGCGCCCAACCCUAACUCAAGGGGGGCCAAUUGACUGGGUCAGGUCUCAGACCUAACUCGCUGAUCGCCCCGUCCGGACGUGACCAACCCGUGACACCUCGGCCCACCAUCUCGCGCCAAAGUCAAUGUGCAAUAAAACCAACCAUGCGUGAGGGUAAUUCGAUUUUUAGCUUGUGCAUUUAUUUAUAUUAUUAUUAUACGGCUAGGUUCGUACAAUAGCGGAUGCAACUCAAAUGAUUAGGAUAAUUAAGUGUAGUUGGUUGAUUCAAAAUUAAAUAAAUUUAAAAUUUAGACAGUUCAUAAUUCAAAUUAGUUCUCUACAUAUUUCCAUAUCUUUACCCUUUGGUAAAUUAUUAUCUUUGUUAUAAUUAUUAUAAAUAUUUUAGUACAUAAAUUAUUCACAUUUUAUGCUAUUAAAAUUUUGAUUCUUACAUGAAUGAACAGAGAUAUAAUUUGAAAAGCAAAGCGAAAUAAACAAUAUAGAGCAAUUCAGAUCUGAAUCAAUUCUACGCAAGGUAUAUGUGGUGUCGGGACGUAGCUUGCGCACCGGUCCCUUAAUCUGUAGGCUACCCUGUUAACGUUUAAGCAAAUGGCGAUUGCGAAGUGUCGCCUAACAGUAAUUUGUCCAAACAUCAAAAUACAACAAAAGUUUGGGUCUUACAAUAUAAUCCAGGGUCCAAUAUCUUAAUGUUCCCCUAACAAUGUUCAUUACAUCUUGCCAAUUGCUAUACCAACAUCAUAUCACUGGAGUUGUUGGAUUGAAAAUAGACUCAAAAGAUAAAAAUGGAAGAUACUGAAUUUUUUUGCACUAGUUUAUAAAUGGUUUAUUCUAUAUUUCUAACUAAUGAUUUAUUCUUUUCUCUCUCUCUCUCUCUCUCUCUCUCUCUCUAUAUAUAUAUAUAUAUAUAUAUGCGUUUAAUUUAGAUUGUGGCAAAGGGCUUGAUGGUUAGUAUUGAGGUCCCAAGUUCGAAUCCUAGUUGAUUCACAUUUCUCGCUAAAUUUAUUUCUAAAUAAAAUAAACGAAGCGGUAGCGUGCUACUUAUCUCUCAAAAAAAAAAAAAAUUUAGAUUGUGACGGAUCAUUUGAAAAAGUCUAAGCAAUAAUUCCUCUAAGCGAACAAGUUGGUGACGAGUUCCAGCUCGGCUCGCGUACGUGACAAGCACCAACAUCCUACGUGACGAGGUGCACAUGGCCACCCCUUUCCUUAGCUGUUGCAAAAUUUCAAAGUACAAAAAUUCACUCUUUCAAUGAAUGAAGCAGGUAGCGUGUUACCUAUUCUCAAAAAAAAAAAAAAAAAAAAAAAAAACAAUUUUUCUUUCUUUAAAUUUAAAAAUUUAAAUUUAAAUUCGAAGUAGAAUACUUUCUCUUCCAACUUGAUUAUCAAGUAAUAUUCUCCUUGUAAAUCAAAAAAGCAAAUCCCCCGAGCGUCAUUUCUUAGCUGAUUUUAUUUUUAAAAAUAAUAUUUUACAAAAAAUUAAAAGAAUGCCUUCCUUUUUUUUGUUAAAAGAAAAAAAAAAAAAAGCCACCGAUUCCUCGCUUCGUAAGGUAGCCCGUAGCCCUCCCUUUUCACGACUUUAUUUUUAAAAAAAAAUAGUUUUUUUCUUUUUCUCUUUUUAUGCUUGUUGUAUUAUGUUUCUUGUUCUUCCAAUCCAAGCAAUCCCUAGUACUCUUUUUUGACUUUUUGUUUUUUUUUUUUUUUGUCACCCCAACCAAAUAUAUAUAAAUUANUAGAUAAAUAUUUAAUCCUGAUUAGCUAAUGAGGUGAAUUGAUAUUUAUACAUUUUUUUAAUUAACAUUGAGAUUUUUAGAGAGAUAUAUUUGUGAUGAUAAAAUGGUCAUUUCACUUAUAAAAUAGACCGUAUUUUAAUAAUAACAAAUCAAAAAAACGUAUUUAAAAAUAUUAGAACUUUUGUAAAGACAACUUAUAAAUAUUGAACAUUGAAGGAAGAUAUUUACAAAUUAUUAUAUUUAUAGGUACUUGUAUAAAAUUAAUCCUAAAUUAAAUUUAAUACUAAGUACCUCUCUCAUGCAUUAAAAUCACGAUGCCAAAUGCCAACCCCAUCAUAGGAGAGGGAAUUUGUGAACGCCCACUAAGCCCCCCACCCCAACCGUAUUUUAAAUUCCUCUUCUGAGCCUCCUUCCUUCUCCUCCAUGCAACCGCGCCAAGAAGCCUUAUUUCCCACCACACCGUAAUCGUCGUCGUCGGAGGAGGAGGAGAGAUCGAUGGAUGAGGAGGUCGUGAGGCCGUCGGGGUGCGCCAUGCUGGCGCUCUACGGCGGCGUGUUCCGGCGGUGGCACCGCCGCUCGGCGUCGACCAGCUCCAUCCCCCGGUUCGAUCCCGAUUCUCCGGCAGCAGCAGCAGUGCCGCCACUGAAGCCGCCGCAGCAGACGUCACAGCUGCCCGUGGCGGUGGCCUCGGCGGCAAUGAAGACGAAGCGUGCGGCCGCUGACGAUACAUCCCUCGUGCCAGUGGAUAGGUAGUUAUAUAACAACCGUUUUUCUCUAAAAAUUAUGUAAGCUAUUUAUGUAUCGAUAUUUUUAUACGUUAGCUGUAGUAUUAUUUUUCAUGCGCGCGACUUUAAGUUAAACAAGGAAAAUACCAUUAUUACCUUAGGAGCUAGAAAACGAAACUCUCAAAAUAUUGUGGUCGUAGAUAAUCUAUGGUUUAAUGAGAAACAAAAGUUUAUUAACACAUAAGAAUCGUUUGUAGGGCGCCCAAAGCAUUUUCUUUUAGACUCGUAAUGGUAUAACAGUCUCUUACUACCCCACCUGUUGUUUAUUAAUAAUUUUUAUUAUAUAUACUAACUGUCCUUAGAGAAGCGGGUAGCAUGUUACCUAUCUCUCGAAAAAAAAAAAAAAAAUAUUAUAUAUAUAUAUUUUUUACUAAUACUUUGUUUGGAGAUGAAAAAUCAUAUGUCAGUACGAGUGCACUCCAUUAAGUAUUUAAUGGUUAGUAUUUAAAAUUUUUAAUUCAAGACUAAUUGAUUAUUUCUUAUUGUUGGCCGAAAUAUAUUUAAAAGUAUUAAAAUUUUUAAAAAAUAAUAUAUAAAAUUUAAAUUUUAUAAAAAAAUUAUAAUUUAUUAUAUUUGUAGGGAGCAAUGUGCAAUUACCCUUUAUAUUUAAUGCCGAUAUAGGUCACUGGUGACGGCGAAACCCCCGGCUCCGAAGACCGCGGCGCGGAGACCGGCGGAGCCCAAGGCGGCGGCGGCGGCUGCGGCGGCGUACAGCGGUAUCGCCGCCGAUCUCGACCGCAUGAUCCACGACCGCCAGCAGGUGAAGGGGAGCGGGAACCUCCUCCGCGCUUCCUCGGGGAACGUCAUGCUCUUCGGCAACCUCGGCAACCUCCGCCCGGGUCCCCUGCUCGCGGCGCCCUCGCCCGCACGCAACGCGCUCGACGAAACGCCCAAGCCAACGAAGGAGCCCAAGUUCGCGGCGCCGCGCGGGGCGCGGGGCAACAUAGCGAAGGGCGCGGCGGCGAAGGAGGCGGCGGAGGAGGAGGCGGCGGCGAGGCCGGAGCUCUGCCGCGCGCUGUCGAGGAGGCUGGACCCCGAGGAGCUGAAGGAGGUGGGGAACGAGGAGUACAAGCAGGGGCGCUUCGCCGAGGCGCUGGCGCUUUACGACCGGGCGAUCGUGAUGGACCCCCUGAAGGCCGCGUACUGGAGCAACAAGGCCGCCGCGCUCACCGCCCUCGGACGCCUUCUCGAGGCGGUCGCCGAGUGCAGAGAAGCUCUUCGGAUCGAUCCCUGUUAUCACAGAGCACAUUCUCGACUCGCAACUCUUUACCUCAGGUAAUUUCUUUUUCUUUUUUCUUUUUCCUUUUUUUAAAAAAUAUAUAUAUAUAAGAUCAUCCUUCUUUUCUUCUUUCUGAAACUGGGUUAAGAUCAUUUUUGUGCCAUUUCUCAGAUUGGGAGAACCUGAUAAAGCCAUUUACCACUAUAAACAAGCGUCGAAAGAAGCUACCGCCGCCGACAUUUCACGAGCGCAAUCUCUGAAGACGCGCAUCGUUAAGUGCAGUGAAGCCCGGAAGCUGAAGGAUUGGCUCACUGUAUUGAAGAUAUCACAAUCUGCUAUUUCUGACGGUGCCAAUUCUGCUCCACAGGUAUUGCAUCAGAAAACUGAGCAGCUUGCUUGCAUUAUCAAUUAUCGUUACGGAAAGUUGGGGGGGUUGCUUAAAAUCAAUUCUGAACUGAAAGAUAUCCACUUAACAACAUUUGCUUAGCAUCUAACUUUUGAGUAGCAUACAAUGUUCCCUGUGCUUUAUGGAAAGCUACGCACGGCAUGCAUUCGACUUGAAUGUGGGCCUCAGCUUUAGCAAAUUAGCAUAGAAGAGAAUGCCAAGAUCAAUCAUCAGGACCCAGCUUAUUUUUUGAUUUUGUUGUGCUUUGAAAGGUACUCGCAUUGCAAGCGGAGGCUCUCCUAAAGCUUAAAAGGCACGACGAGGCCGACUCGGUGUUUAGCGGUGCACCCAAGUUCGAUGCGGAUGCAUCAACUAAGUUCUUUGGUCCUAUUGACUAUGCGUAUGUCCUUAUGAUUCGAGCGCAGGUGGACAUGGCAGCCGGAAGGUUUGUUUCCUAGGCUUAUACAGAGAAGCUUGAUAUAAUAAUUGUUUCCGACAGAAUAAAUGCCAAUUUAGGUGUCCAAUUUGAAUCUUCUGUUUUUGUUGCGGCAAAAAAACCAUUGAAAAAAUACCUGAUUCAGUUUAUAGCUUGUUAAUCACCACCGACUAACAAAUGGCCUUUGGAUUGAAGGUUUGAGGAGGCAAUCACAGCGGCUCAAACUGCUUCUCAGCUCGAUCCAUACAGCAGAGAAAUAAGCUCGCUAGCCCGAAGGACACGAACUGUGGCAUCGGCACGCUCCAAAGGCAACGACCUCUUCAAGGCAUCCAAGUUUGCCGAGGCAUGCAUUGCAUACGGAGAGGGCCUGGACAAAGAAUCACACAAUGCCGUUCUCCUUUGCAAUCGAGCAGCAUGUCACUCCAAGCUCGGACACUACGAAAAAGCCAUCGAGGACUGCAACGCUGCUCUUGUAGUUCGACCUUCUUACAGUAAAGCUCGCCUGAGGAGAGCUGACUGCAAUGCCAAGGUAUGCGAUGUUACUUGGUUGCUUAUUUAACCUAGCUUCUGGACCUGGGGAUUAUGUGCUUUGAGAACAAUUCAUUUGACAUGAGGAUGAUUUCUUGUUUUGCUAGUUGGAAAGGUGGGAAGCAUCUUAUAAGGAUUGUCAGUUGUUAAUCCAAGAGCUCCCGGGAAAUGAGGAGGUAACCAAGGCCCUAUCCGAGGCUGAAGCCCAGCUCAAGAAGCAGCAGAAACAAGAAGCAAAAGAUAGAUCUCAGUCCUAAUGUUCUAGUCAUUGGCCACAGCGCGUUGUUGUAUUGACUCGGUACGUAUUCCAUUUCUUUGCAUUUUCUCUUGGUUCAUUUCCAUUAGUUAUGCGCUAUUGGCAUUGAAAUCUCUAUUUCUUCAAAUUUUUCUCUACAAACAAAGCUUUAAAAUUUCAGUUACAUUCAAACCGGUAGGAUUUCGUUGGUUAAACCUACAUAUUGGGCUUCUGCUCAGUUGGUCUGUAUUUUUUAAGUUUUGGCUGAAACUUGCAAAAUCUUGAAAUUGGUUAACGGGAUAACAGUAAUGUUGCAUAAAUUGAGUAGCUAGAGGAAGUGUGCAGUGGUUAGCGACCAUUUGUGCCCUAUACAUGGUCAAACCACUUUGAUCUAAGAAGCUUAGGCUAGUGUUUAUCGAUCUUUCCAUCUAUAUAGCCACUCGGUCAUUCUCCAACCAAUGUGGGGCUAUUCAAUCUCACACAUGUUCUAUCAACUAGACAGAACAUCAAAACAGAAACUGCUGAAACGACUGGAACAUAUACUUCCAGAAUCAUUAAAUUUACACAUCCGUAGGCAGUUCCACACUACAUAAACAUUAAAUUUAUCUUUAAUGAAUGAUUGAUACUAAUGAGCAGCAAAAGUCUAGAGAACAAGAUAGUUCAAGAAAUCCUGAAAGCCUACUGAUAAUGCGCUGUUAAUUACAAUUGCUAAAGCAAAGCAGACUAUGACUGUGCUCUGUUUUUUAUUCAAUAUGAGAAAGCUUAAGAUUUUUCUCUCGUCUAAGGUGUUCAUUUACCGUUUUGAAUGGUCGGCUGUCAUACUUUUUCUUACUUUGUCUAGUGUUUCGCAUCGGUGACAGCUACCGAAGUCUUUUGUGUUCACCACUGCAUCAUUCUUUAUUUUCUUUUUCAUACAUUUUAACUUUACAUAUUCUAUUUGAAACAUUGUUUUGACUGAUAUGAUCUGUAAGCUUUCUUAUGAAGCUCCUAAAUUCGACCUAAUUGGUGUUGCUUUUUAAAGGGCUAGUUUGCGUUAUGAGAUGUGGUCCUCUACGCAAUCAAGUACCGCAACUUUUCUAAUGUAGUAGGACAACAUUGAUGCCCUUCAAAUCUUAAUCAAGUGAAACUUGUUUGAAGAAUAAAGGAAGCUUCUGCCGUACAACUUCUUUAUACAAAAGUGAUUGAAUCAAGCUAAUGAUUCUUAUUUUUUCUUUUUCUUUUUUUGUGAUAAAAUGGCAGGACUUCACUGCUGGAUGUCGGCAAGUAGAAGAAGUUUUGAAGUGGAGAAUGCAUUCAAUGGAACAAAUCUGUUAGCUAGAUCCAUCUUACUACAGUAAAGUUUGGUUUCGCGAGUUCUUCCGUUAAGAUUUUUUGUUUUUUCCAGAUAAAACUUUUCUGUAAUGAUAAUGUACAUAUUAGUGAGAUCGUUAGCUAUGAAUGUCAUGAGUGCAUUAGUUUUAUACUUGAAAUCUCGAUGAAAGAAAUAUUACACAACAAAAGAACAGAAAAAAAGAAGUGAAAUGUUGCCAUUCAACAGGAAAAGAAAUUUUGAUGAAUACGAAAGGAAUCCCCUGUAUCUUUUUUUCUUUCUUGAUUGGAAAAAGAAUGAAACUUAAUCAGUUCCAUUUUUCUUUCGGAAAAAAGGCAAAUUAGAGAGAUUGUUGUUCCUUGUAUUUCUAUUCAUGUAAUACUUAUGUAUAGUCAAUUUACAGUACGCAUUAGUGAUGAUAAAUUCAUAACAAUGUUUGUUAUAUCUAAGGUGACUUGACAUUGUUAGUUUCACCAAUGUUCGAGGCAUUUAAUUGAACCAUUAGUGAAACCAAUAAAACAUUAAUCCCAGCCCAUUAUUAUUCUUUUUUCAAAACACUUAACUAAAGAGUACACAAGCACAAUAUUAACGGAAAGAAAGAAAUAGAAAAAAGAAAGGAAAAGAGUUAAAAAAAAAAGAAAAAGAAAAGAAAAGAUCCAGGAUAAUAUACAUUGGGGUAAAAUGAUUAUGUUUGAGCAUCCUUUUGCUUUUGCCAAGAUGAGGUUGGAAAAAGCCGCACCUAUCUUUCCUAAAAGCUACAUGGUAAGGUGCACUAACCCAGCAUCUUGGUCCCAUUGGGCCUAUUUAACUUACACAUCCAACAAGUCGAUAUAAACUCAUUCAAGGCCUAUUUAACUUAUACCUACCUCCUACAGCGCAAGUAGUAAAAAAUUUAAUAUUUGAUUUUUGAGAUCUCAAGUUGGAACGAAAUGAAUUACAUAUUAUCUUUCUCUAAAAAAAAAUAAUAUUAUCAAUUUGCCACUCGAAUGCCUUAUUUUUAUAGCACGUGACAGUUCUGCCUGUCUACUUUUACACAGCGCGCGCGCACACGCAGGAACAUAGUGCACACAUGCACUGGAAACGGAGAGACAAAAUAAAUUAGCUCUAGGAAGGGAAAAAGAAAGAGGAGGGCAAGAGAGUAAAUUGUUGAAAGAUGUACAAUAUUUACAUGCAAAUUCACUCCACAUUAUUUUGGUAUAAGCUCAAAUUUUCUAAAGAAAAAGAAAGCGAAAAAGAAAAAAAAGUACAAAAAACACAACAAAUUAAACACCAGCUAGCAAACGCACGGCCAAGUAUUCACCACCACUAAUAAAAGAAAAAGACCAUAAAAACAUACGUUUGACACACAAAAUCAGAUUCGAUAGCAUAAUAAUAUAAAAAGACUGAUGCUGAUGCUGUAAAGCGAAGAUUUAGUGACCGGAGGCGUCGAGAUCAGGUGUUGUUAUAUCUGACUUCGCUGGUACUUGCCGUGAUCCUCGGCAUCGAUCGAUAUCUUCAAGUCGCUAAACUCACUCCUUUUUAAGAUCCAGCAUCUUUCUCUGAUCACUUUAUCUAAAAUCCAAAUCUAGGUAUGGAACAGCAGCCAUAUCUAGUAUAAUAAGUAACUUGGAAGCGGAAAGAAGAGAAGAGAAAAUGAACGAGAUCGGUGCACUCGAUCUUCUGCGUCGAUCAUCUCUUCCAGCUCCGACUCCUGGCGAAGGGAUCGGCGCUUCCGACGACCCACGUCUCCUUGGCGAUGUCCAUGGAGACCUUGAAGAAGUCCGGUGCGUAGCUCAUCAGCACCAGCCUCUCCUUUUCCUUCUCCUUCUCCUUCUCUUUUAUCAUCUUCAUCAUCUGCUCUUCCUUCUUCUCAACAUCAUCAUCAUCAUCAUCAUCAUCAUCAUCCUCCUUCUCUACUUCUGCGCCUUCUUCGCUAUCUUCUCUCCGUUUUCUGCUCAGUAAGCCCUUCGCGGGGGCCGACCUGCACCUCAUCAGCAACAGAGCAUUCGGAGGCGGCACCGCAGACGGUGCAACUUCGUUGUCUUCUUCUUCUUCUUCUUCUUCUUCUUCUUUCUCGUCUUCUUCGUCGACUAAUUCUUCCUCUUGCUCUUCAAAAUCGUUCAAAUAAUACACCACAUUAGAUAUUCUGUAUCUGAACGUACGUUUACAGAAGCUGCAAUUUAAGCAAGUAAGAAAAGAAAUAACCCGAUUGGGUCGUUACCUUCUUUCUUGAACCCAAGGCCUUGGUCCUGCUCUAAGACCAUGAACCACUUUGAGAAAAUAGUCCUCGUCUCACUACUACGACUCUCCCCAUCCCCAUCCCCAUGCUUCGCCUCCACCUCCUCAUCUUCAUCGUCGUCCUCUUCCGCUUCGUCGUCGUCGUCCUCCUCCUCCUCCUCCUCCUCCUCCUCCUCGUCAUCCGUGCUGCACUCUACGGCCCCACGGAACGACCCGAAGCAGCCGAAAUUGAAGUGGACCCCGCGCAGGGCGCCGAGGAACUGCCACGCGUCCUUCUUCAGCCCAAUCGCCUCCAGCCACGUGGGCUUCUUCCUCCGCGCCGUCCGAUCGGCGCGGAGCCGCUCGAUCUCCUCCACGACGGAGAGCCAGGUCCUGGUGGGCCGGGGCUUGGGAGUGGGCUUGGGCCGGCCCACCUUGAUCUGGCCCGCGCACGUGACCUUGGGCGAGGUGGGCUCGUCGUCGGCGUCGGGGGAGCGCGCGCGCCUCGCCGCGGCGGCGGCGCGGGGCUUGGCGAAGAGCGGGCUCGGGCUCGGGUGGCCGCGGGAGUUGGCGGUGGUGGUGAUGCUGGGCCGGGCCGGGUGGCGGAGGUGGCGCUUGCCCGGCUCUGCCUUGCUGGGCCGAGAUGGGCUGCAAAUGGGCUUCGGCAUUAGCGCCAGGUGGGCCCGCGAGGGGAAGCACACCAGCAGGUCCGUUGGACCCGCUCCGUUUCCUCCUCUUCCCUUCAUACCUCCUCCUCCUCAGUUCCUCCUCUCUCUCUCUCUCUACUCCCUCUCUCACUCUCUCUCUCUCUAUUGUUUUUGUAGAACUAUGCUCCUACUCUGCUCUUCAUGGCUCUCUCUCUCUCUCUCUCUCUUUUGCUAAUGUUUUUGCACGAGUAUACUCUGUAGGAGAGGUUAGAGGGGGGAUGGGUAGAGUAGUUUAAAAGGGAGGAGCUUUGCCAGCUUUUUCCUUCUUUAAGCUCUUAAUAUUAUAUAGGGGGCAAGAUUUAAUAUUUUAGGCCAAAAUGUAUGGAGACCGCCUCAAAUAUAGGUAUUUAAAAUGGCCCCCUCAUUGUUUUUGUUUUUAUUGAUUGAUUGAUUUUCUUCUUUGUUUUUCGGUUGUAAGUCUUAAUUGUUUUCAUACGGAGUAAUUUUUUGUUAAAUAAAUUUGUGCUACCCAUUUCAAAAUUCCCUAUUAUUAAGGGCUUUCCGUACAUUUUUUACUUUACCAAUAAUUUUACGUGUUUUCCCUGCUUGCUUUUAUAGUUGAUGAUCACGGGCAUUUGCUCCUUUUGUGGGUCUCAGCCUUUUACUUUUUCUUCCACUUUUUGCCUUUUUUUUUUUUUUUUUUUGCAUGCAGAUAUAAAAGGUAUAAAAGGUAGAUAUAAAUUAAUGAACAAGUCCCCAUCAACUAUUUCAUGAACCAACCAAAACCAACUUUUCCCUGUGAGAGAACAUUUUAUUAAAAAGGUGUAACAUGAAACAUGAGCUUAUACUUAAUUAAAGCUUUGCUUACCAUCAUUACAAUUUUUAAUAUUAAUUACUACAUCAUUAAAAUCCUGUAAUACAAUUUAUUAAAUCUUAAACUACAAGGAACUGUUUUAUGGGCUAUGAUGAACCCUAACAACUAGCUUUUCCACACAAAAGAAAAUAGUUUAAUACGUCAUCAUUCUACGUUUCUUUGCCCCUUAUCUCUCUCUCUCUCUCUCUCUCUCUCUCUCUCUCUCUCCUAUUAAAGUACUAUAUAUUCACAUUAUAUUAAUUAUCAUUGUUAGAUAACCUAAUAAGGUAAAUAAUUUAAGGACUCCAUGUAACCGCAACCAAAUCAUUUAAUUUGCUUUAUAACUUUACCGAAGUGACAUAGCCAAAGCAGUUUUUACUAUUGUCUGAGUAUAUACAUUAUAUCUAACCAUGUUUUAAUUUUUCUUUACUUCGCAAAAUAGUAGAUAUUGCUAUGAUAAUAUUAGCUCCCUUUACCACAAAAUUUUCUACUCUUUGUUCCCAUGGCCACCAACUUCGUAAAGCCUUAAUUAGGAUAGGAAAUUAAAGGGGCCAUCCAACUUGUUAUAUAGUAAAACACACUAAUUAAUUUGGUACUAUGGUCCAACUUGUAUCUAUAUUUAUGAAGUACAAGCUAGUUCAUGCUUCCAUAAACAAUUUAGUAUCACUUAUUCAUGAGUAGGCUUGUAAACAUUAUAUAACCAACUUCUUUUUAAAAUGGAAAUUUUAUUUUACUAACCAAAUUGAUAUAUAUAGUUUUAAUAAGUUUUAAUUCUUUCAAUAAAAUGGCUCGGAGCCAAGAUAUAUGCGGCAUGAUCAAUGAUGAGCUAGUUUAGAAGCAAUGCCUUGAGACGUGGGGGAGAGGAUCGGUCAAGCAAAAGGAAAGCGAGCAAAUGAGAUUUGAUUAAAAAUGUGGAAGGUUUGAUCAUGGGUUUGUAUAUUUAGUAGAGGCAUUGAAUCAAGGUGAUGACAAUAUCAAAUAUUCGAAAGUAAAAAUUUGGUGUCAUUGAGGAUAUAUAUGCACAUGAAAGUUCCUAAAUUUAUUUUCUAUAAAGAGGUUUUUGACGCUUGAAGUACUCACUCUUCUUUUAUGUUUUCUACCUUGUUGCAUUUCAAGCAUAUGUAUGGCUCAAAAUGGAACUUUGCUUUAAUGAGAAAAACAUUUGAGGAUUUUAAUAAAACAUUUGUGAAGUACUCAUUUGAACAACCUUAAUUAUUUGCAAUAGCUCUUAUGCAAAACCGAAGGAUUUUAAGUUAUCUUCUAUCUUUUAAAAUAUAUUUUGACAAAUGGCAGUUAGGCGGCCAAGCAGAUCCUUAAAAAUUUAACAUCUACCCCACAAUCUUGAAAUAGGUUACAUAAACAAAAGGAGAUUGAUAAUGUCCAAGAGAUGCUUAAGAUCAUGUUUAAUUAUUGUAUUCUUUAAGCAAGAAGACUUUUGUGUCAAGUUUUGCUUUUGGAAUAAUGUGGUGUACUAUAUAUUAUUAUGAAGCAUCUCCCGGAAUCAAUUUCUAUAUGGAGUUGGUACAUUCAUUUAUCUGGAAACCAAUCAUAAAGCUAGGGCACUCAAUAUUUUACAAACAAUGAUGUGUAAAGAUGGGGUUUAUGUAAAGAAAGGGUACCAUUAUGAAAGAGGAGUGAUGCUUAAUUGAGAGUAUGUAAAAGGAUGGCCCUCCACUAAGGCCAUAGUGAUAGUGGUUGAUGGAUAUAUAACACCUUUGGUUGAGAACCUAGAAAUAUCUGAGCUACCAAAUUUGAAGUGUUAAGGGAAUGUGCAGUGGUUGCUAAUUUGUUUCCUAUAAGAAUUUUUUUUUUUGUGCAUAUUUUUUUUGUUAUAUUAUCCCAAUAAGUUGGGUUGGAUUAUAAUUAUAGACAAUGGGGGUGUGCUUGGUUCGAAAUCGGAAUCGGUAUCGAAAUAUGAAUGAGAAUAAACUAGAAACAGAAUGCAAAUGAUUCAUUACCUUAUUCUAUUUAGUUCGUCGCCUGAAUCGGAAUAAAAAAUAGAAUAAACUAUUCCCGUUGUCGGUAUUUGGUUCAGAUAGAUAUUAGAAAUGUAAUCAAAUUAAUAUGUUAAUUUUAUCUUUAUAAUAUAUUGGUUUAAAUUCAAACUAAAAAUUAAAUAUUAAAAAUUUACGUCAAAAUUUUAAAAUGAUGUCAAAAUUUUAAAUAUAUUUUUUAAAAAAAAUAAAAAUUGAAAUUGGACGGAUAAUUCAAAAUAUAAAAUAAAAUUUUAAUUUAUUCAAAGUCAAACAUAAAAUUAUAAUUUUAAUUUUAAUUUGAAUCCACAAAUUUAAUUGAAAAUUUAAGUAAAUUUUGAAUAAAAUUUUAGAUUUUAAAUUUAAAUUCAAAUUUAUGUAGAUUCGAAAUGCUUGAUUAAAUUUUAAUUUUAAUUUAAGUUCAAAUUAAAAUAAAAAUUUAUAAAUAUAAUUUUAAUUUCAAUUUAAGUUCAAAUUAAAAUUAAAAUGUAUGAAUAUAAUUUUAAUUUUAAUUUAAGUUCAAAUUAAAAUUAAAAUUUUUAAAUAUAAUUUUUAAAUUUAUAUUUAUAUUUUAAUUAAAAAAUAAGUUAAAAAAAUUAAAUUUAAUCCGAGCAAUGGAACCAAAGACGCCCUAGGUAUCAAUUUUCACAUUGGAUUGGUUGAACAGUGUGUGGAAGGUGCAAAUGGACAAAAUUAAGCUUAGUGGGCCGAAGCAAUUGCGGGCUACCUCCUGGCCUUUUCGGCCCAAAAAAUUUUGGGCCGUUACAUCAAACCACCCCAUUUAAACGAUUUAACAAACCCUACUAAUUAAUUUGGCAUCUUAAUAUUAAUAUAUUACUAAUAAUAAUUUGGAUUUAAACAUUUUUGGGAUUGGGCCUAACUAGUUAUUAGUCCUAAUACACUGGGCUGCUACAAAAUCAAUCCGUAAGCUUGAAUGAAUUUUGGAAAAAAAAAAAAAAAAAAAAAAAAAAGAGAGGAGGAAAAAGAGUGAAGGAGAAGGAUUUGAUGUCAUGAUCAACUUAAACAAAUUGGCUCCAACUAAAGCACAGUUUAAACUGAGAUGUACAACUAUGUUGAAGGGUAGUAGCAAAUCAACUUGUGACAGUAAGUUUGUCCCGUGCGUGCAGGUACUAAACCUUAAUUUUUAUAGAUUAUUAUUAUUAUUAUUAUUUUAGAGAUAAGUAGCAUGCUACCCACUUCGUUUAUUUCAUUUAGAAAUAAACUUAGCUAAAACUGUGAAUCAAGUAGAAUUCGAAUUCGGGACCUCGGAUAUCAACCACCAAGCGCUUUGCCACUUGCGCUAGAUUCGAACUCGGGACCUUGUAGAUUUUUAUGAGCUAAAAACAUGCGGAACUAAAUAGAGUAAUUAUCUACGAAGAUCAGCCCAAAUAAUUAAUAGGCACUAUUCAUCCGGCCCAAACUACCAGCCCACAAAGUACAAGUUUGAAUCAUAAACAUAGUUAGUUAAUUCGGAUUCAGCAAAAAUUCGGUACGGGUAUAAUUCGGAUAAAAUUCGUUUUUAAAUUUUUAAAUUCGUUGAAAAAUACGGCUAAAAAACGGGUUCGGUAAUUAUUCAGAUACGUGAUUUAUACGGAUAUAAUACGUUCACCAAUUAAAAAUUCGGGAUAAAAAAUUCGGCUAUAUAAUAAAUAUAUAAUAAUUAAUAUACUAUAUAUAUUAUUAUUAUAAUUUUUAUAUAUAGAUUAAAUAUAUUCAUAUAUUAAUAAUAAACAUAUAUUAAUAAUACAUAAAAUUUAUAUAUUUAAAAAUAGUAAUAAAUAAUUAUAAAUUUAUAAAUAAAAUAUUAUAUAAAUAUUUAUAUAUAAAAAUAAAAUAAUAUAUAUAAUAAAUGAAUAUAUAUUUAUAAAUAAAAAUUAUAUAUAUAUAUAUAUAUAUAGUAUUAUAUAUAUAAAAGAAGGAGGUCCACUGUGGACCUCCCCUCAUGCAGUCCACGAGGCUGAAAUAGCCUCGUGGACCGCGCAUCAUCCAUGCUUUCAAAACCCCCGCAUUUUUACUGUUCAACUUUCACUUUUCCAGAAGGGCAUCGGGCGAGGGGAUGGGAUCUGCUGCCGCGGCUUUUGCUCCCAGCGCCGGCGAGGGCGGCGGAGGACGAUGACGAUGCGAGCAGCGACGAGAGGGCGACAACGCGAGCGGCCACGAGAGCAGCGACGACACUAGCGGCGAUGACGCGACCCUCGGCCGUGAGUCCGUGACCGUGAUCACAGAUUUUUUGGGCGAAUUAUUCGCGAAUCGCGAAUAAUUCGCGAAUAAUAAUUUUUGAGAAAAAAAUCACACCUUUUUUUGAAUUUUUUGAAAAAAUACGAAAAUCGCCGUUUAAUUCGUCCGUAAAAAAAUUGCCGUUUAAUUUGCGUAUUAAACGCGAAUUAACUAACUAAGAUCAUGAAUCACGUUGGGAACAUCGGUCACACCAAUCGACUUUCAAAACUAGGCCCCUUCACAAGCGGACUCGAGAAGAGUUCAAAUUUUUUCUAAUGUGCCGACAUCAAUCGUCCUUGGGACAGGUACCAUUGUAGUGACAGGCCACAUCAUGCAUCAAUUCCAAAGUCAUUAAUUCAAUUAUGUAUCGGUCGCUAUAUUAUUUUAGCAUUUCUCGAUUAAUCAAAAACUAAAUAAUCUCCAAAUUGGCCCACUAUUUAAAACAAAGAUGCUCUCCCACGUCCACACCACAAAUGCGUUAGUUCACACUGCUCUUUUUUUCUUUUUCUUUUUCUUUUUCUUUUUUUUCUGAGAGAUAGGUAGCACGCUAUCCGUUUCGUUUAUUUCAUUUAGAAAUAAACUUAGCUGAAAGUGUAAAUCAACUAGGAUUCGAACUUGGAAUCUCGGGUACCGACCAUCAAAUUUUUUGUCACUUGCUAUAAGGAUAGUUGGUGUGUUAGUUCACACUGCUACAAAAUUAAUAAGAUGCAACCACAGCAAUUUGAAAUUUGAUUAGCUAUGACAAUGAUCCAGCUUUAAGUUUGAUUUCUCUUUCCGAAUAAUUAAUUGUAUAUGCAUGAGUCAUGCCAGGAUAAAGAAAUAAAACCAACUCCCAAAUAGCUCGCGAGGCCUAUAAUUAAAAUUUUUGGUUGGAAUAAACCAUCUUAAUACUUUUUACAAAACUUAAAGCACGUCUGAUGUACUAAAAGAACAUACCUAACUAAAAUUGUUUUUUAUGCAAAAUAAAAAUGAUAUCAUUAUCCAAGCAAUUUAGAAUUAUAUAUAACUUAUAUUACAGUGCAAUGAAAAUUUAUGAUAAAGCCAAUUCUAUUUGUUUUUAUAGAUUAUAUUUGUUACACAAAAAAAAGAAAAAAGAUUAAGAUAAUCCUUCCCUUUAUUUCUUCUAUAAAUAUUAAAAAUAUAGUUUAUAAAUAUUAAAAAUAUAGUAGAAAAUGAGUUCAAAAUAUAUAUAAUACUUCUGCGCCUAGAAAUACAAAUUAACACUCUCAUUCACAUGCAUGAUAACAAGUGUUUUUAUAAGAGUUGAGCUCAUGUACUUUUAAAUGUGCUUACAAUUUUUUAAUAGUUGAAUUGCCUCAAAAUUCGUAUAGUAUUAACAAAAAAAUUUAAUAAAACACACAAUUAAUAAUACUGUACGAACUUCAUGACUAAAAAGUCACAAUUAUAAGUCCUCCUUAACUUUCAAAAGCACAAAAAAUCAACUCUAUUCUGUUAAUUUUUUGGAAAAACGACAAAUAUCGUUCCCGUGGUUUCACACUUUCUCACUUUCGUACCCUAUAAUUUAAAGUGUAUUAAUUUAAUACCUUAUGAUUUUAUUUUUAUAUUUUUAUUAUCGAUUUUUCUAUUUUUUUUCGCUAAGUCAGUGACAAAGUUAAAACUAAAGAACAGUAAAAUGAAUAUUCGAUAAAACUAAGUUAGAUAUUUGAAAUUUUUUAUAUAUAAUUUAAUAAAAUAUUAAUAAAAAACUGAUGAAAAGAUAAAAAUAAGGAAAAACUUCAAAAAACCUCCUUGUGGUUUCAAUUUUUUUCACUUUAGUACCCUGUGGUUUAAAAUGUAUCAAGUUAGUACCCUGUGGUUUCUCACUUUAUCACUUUNNNNNNNNNCAAUCACAAGACACUAAAUAAAAAUCCCUUUUAAAGUUUUUGAGGGGGACACCAAAGUGUGAAAAAGUAAAAUCAUGGGACACCAAAUUUCACAGAGUUCAAUCAUGGGACACCAAAACAUGAAAUAGUGAAAUCAUGGGAUACCAAAGUGUGAAAUAGUGAAAUCAUGGAAUACCAAAUUUUUUGGUGACCCAUGAUUAAACUAUGUUUUAAUUUUGGUGUCCCAUGAUUUUACUAUUUCACGUUUUGGUGUCCCAUGAUUAAACUAUGUAAAAUUUGGUGUCCCAUACUUUCACUAUUUCACUCUUUGGUGUCCCAUGAUUGAACUAUGUAAAAUUUGGUGUCCCAUGAUUUUUAGAAACACCUUAAACUACAAUACACUAUUAAAGUCAAAAGUACAAAACCACAAAAAUAAUAUUUAAAGUUUACCUUAAUUAUUUUAUAUAAUUUAAUAAUACGUAAGAAUAGAGGAAUCUGCAUCCAUCUUAUUUUAUUUCUUUCUAUUUAAUUCAAGCUUGGUCCAGAUAAAGACUAGGCCCAAAUGUGAACAUCCGCAUUUUAUUUGCCACAUACCAAAACACCACCAGCGGGAUACGGGCCAUACGGCAUACAGCAUACAGCAUAGCUAGCAAGCACUGCUGAUCAAAAUAGGAAAAAAAGAAAAAAAAGAAAAAAAAAAAACUAAAAAUGCCGAGACAGGGAAGGAAGACAGGUCAGAUCAGAUCAGAUCAGAUGAGGCCAGCUGUCGGCAGCUCAGUGGUCCUCGUCCUUGCCGGCGGCGGUGGCGAGCCACUGCUCGACGGUGAAGAGCUGCUGGGCGCAGCCGGCGUGGGGCCCGGUCGUCGUCACCUCCACGUAGUUGCAGUACCACCCGUGGUGGGCCCCGCUGCCGUCCGACGUCAGGUUCAGCCGGCAGGGCGGCGACGAAGUGCAGGGCCCGAGCCCGCUGAACACGUCGAGGUUGCCCCGCUCGAAGUAGUUGUGGCCCUCCCCCAUCAGCCCCCCCCACGCCUCCAGGUUCGUGAUCCGCACCCCGGAGCCGUCCGAUCCCGUCAGCUCCACGCCGAUCACCGAGUCCGUGCCCCCCUUCCAGAUCGACCCCGUCCGCACGUACAGCGUGUACACGCACUUGUCCGAGUCGUCCCCGCCCCCCACACCGACCGAUCGGGAUCCGACGGCCUGUGUGCGUAGGAUCGACGGUAAUUAAAUAUGGGAAAAAAGAGGUUUAUUUAUUUACCGUUUAAACGCGCGCUUACCUCGAUGAGUGAAGCAGCAGCGGUGGAGUGGACGAGGGAGGAGCCGAGGAGGAGGAAGAGGAGGACGAGGAAGGGGAAAGGGAUACCCAUUUUUGAGGAUUUGAGGAGGAAAAGAAAGGGGAAAUGAAAUAUAAAGGGCAAAAAUAAAAGAGUGAUCGCUGUGGUGGGCCCCAGGCAUCGAUGUGUAAAUAGUUGGAUCGUUUUUAAUUAAUGAGAAGGGGAUUAUUCUAAUCCGUGUUAUUAACGAAAAAUAAACUCUAUUGCCAAGGAAAAUUUGUUCAAAACUUCUUUACAACAGUUUUUAAGAUAUGACUUAAACCAUUCUUAUUAUUUUGAAAUAAAAUAAGAGUAAUAAGUGAUAUAGAGGAAAUGCAUAUUAUGCAUUCCAUCCGCUACAGAUCUGAGAAUGUGUCACGUGAUAUUCUAGAUGAUAUUCUAGAUGGGAUUUUGCACAUCCCACCUGGUUCACACAAUGUUCGAUCUUAUUAAAGAUCUAGGGGCAUUUCCGGUGUAUCGAUCGAAAACUUGUUUUGUCGGGUUCGAGACCCGGAGUUGCGGUUGACCCCGCUGUAAUUCGCAACGUGUCGGUGCGAACGAGCCCGAUCCCAACCCGCGUCGCUCCGCGACCGUGCUGUGGUGCGUCGUACGGAGCUUAUGGUCUAGAGCCCACGUUCUCAUCCCUAUUCAGGUGGGACCCUCGCUUCCAUGACACGUGGCAUUUGUUUGUGUGUGUGUGUGUGUGUGUGUGUGUGGUGUGUGUGUACAUGAGUUAUAUUGCUUAUAUAUAUAGCAUCUCUAAUCAAGUACAUAAUUUUUUUUAGUUCAACCAUUCAAUAAUAGUUAUUAGAAAAAUAUAUUAUUAUAUCUUCUCUUAAAUAAAAAAAUUUAAUUAGUUGAUUAUUGAUAAUAUAAUGUAAGUAUUACGUAGUAAAUUUCUUUGGCCGUAGGGACGUAACGCAUAAAUCUGGAACCUGUCAAGUCUCGCAAUGGCCUAUUUGAUAGGAGUGAUUUUUAUAAAAUUAAUUUUGAAAUAAAAAAUUAAUUUGGUUAAAAAUUAUAGAAUUUUAUGCUAAGGGUGUGUUCGGUUACUUGUAAAAUCACCUCGAAUUUUUUUUUUCGAUUGGAACAUAAAAUUUUGAUGUUUUUUUACUUGUAAAAAAAUUAUUCCAGCAAAAAAUUUUACAAAUCAGAAGGAAAAUCAAACUUUAAUUUAAUAUUCGAAUUAAAAAUUAAAAAUAAAAUUAAAAAUUGAAUUUGAAUCCAAAAUUAAAAUCGAAUUUUAAGUAGCAAAUUUUAGAUGCUUCUUCUGAUUAUGGGCUUCUAAAAUUGAAAAAUUGAAAAAUCGAUUCUAAAAAUUAAAAUCAGAUUUUGAAAUAGAUAUUGCCAAAUGCUCUAUUGGCAGUAAAAUUACUUUUGGAGAGAGCUAGGCCUAACACGGACAUAGUGAACGGACACGGGCCGUACAAGAGACGCUGGUGGUGUUAGACUACGUCUUGGUGGCCCACGGUACGGCCCGGCCUGCAUCAAAAUACGGGUCCUUCUGUAGCGGUUCUAGAGCCUGUAAGCCGACAUGAUACGGCCCAUUUGGGCAGUGCUCAACCAGGCAUCGAAGCCCGGCCCGACAAUUUUUUUAAUAUUUUAUAAUAUUAAAAGAAUUUAAAUAUAUAUAAACUAAUAAUUGUAUAUAUUAAAAUAAUAUUAUUAAAAAAUUUGAAAGUAAACAUUAAGAAAAUAUUAAAAAAAAUUAAAAAGGGUCCUCGAGGAUGGAUCAACUCCCAAAUCCAAAGGGAGAGGGAGAAAAUAGAGACCUCGAUUUCCUCAUAUUUUUCUUUUUUAAUUAUACAUUUUUUUUUUUUUUCAUUUAAAGAGUGCAUGUCAAUCUAAAAAGAAAGUCAGUAUUACUAUAAUAUAUACAUUUUUCACAAUAUUAUUCUUAUAUGCUAUGGAUGUCUGUAUUGUCAUAUUCAUGUGGCGCAUUUCGAAGCGCUGACGAGUGAAUUAAUUAAAGAUCUCCAGAUCGUAAAUACGAAAGCAAACCAAUUAAGAGAUGAUCGAUCGAUAUACACAUAAUAAUAGAGUAAAUAAGUCCAAAUCUUAUUUAUUGUCCACAUUUAUUUUACUAGAUACCAAGACACAUCAGUGGGCCGGUGGUGCGUAGAAAGUAAACUCAUAUAUGCAUACAGCAGCAGUAAAUCGAGUACGCAUGCAGCAGUACGUAGACAAGCUAACCGCUGCCGGCGCCUCGAUCUCACUUCUCCUCAUCGCCGUCCACGCCGUUGCCGUUGCCGUUGCCGUCGCCAUCGCCGUCGCCGUUGUUGCCGGUGUGUGGGCGGCAGUUGUCGCGCACGGCAGUGAGAUGGUGCCCCCCUCCGGCCGCGAGCCACACGUGGAAGUCGAACCGGUGCUUGGUGCACUGGGAGUCGGGCCCGGCGGCCCACAGCUCCACGAAGUCCACGAACCACCCGGGAUGGGACCCGCUCCCGUCCGACGUCAGCCUUAUCCAGCAGGGCGGCCACGUGAUGCACGUCCCGCACCCGGCGAAGGCGUCGGCAUAUCCCCUCUCGAAGUAGUUGUAGCCAUCCCACAUUAAUCCGCCCCACGACUCUAGGUUCGGGACGUGGUACCGGACGUGAUCCGGUCCCGCUAAGGUAACGCUUAUCUUCGAGUCCGUGCCCGCGUUGACCCGGUUCCCCGUUUGCACGCGCAGCGUGUAAAGGCAGUGGUUCGAGCCCCCGCUUCCCACGCCGCAGCCCUGCUCCAGUCCCGCGCCCUGCCAUAACACACAUCAAACAACAAUAAUUUAAUCCGUCAAAUAUAUAUUAUAAGACAUAGAAAUUGAACUCUCAAUCUCCCCGACAGGAAAAAAAGUUUAGAAUUAAGUAUAAUACCAUAUUACAUAAUGUGAAACGAUGGUACAACUUUUUGUCAUAAGCAGCUACAUACUAAUCCUAGAAAAUUGUAUUCUAUCUUAGGAGAUGUUCGGUUGGAUCGGUGCAUAUAACGAGAUAUACAAGAGAUGGCGAGAGACAGACAGAAAUGAUUGCAUUGCGAUAAAAGAUGGAGAGAGAAAGGGCUUGAGCUGAAAUACAUUAAUAAGAGUGCAUGAAUAGUAUUCUUUGUCGACUUUCUUACCAGUACAAUCAUCAAAUAAUAAAUUCAUAUGCUCGUAAGAGCAUUCCAGCCAUCGCGAGAAAACGGAGACCAGUCAGAAAUCAUCCUGCGUUCAAUACUCUUAAUUUCUUGUGGUUGUACAUUUGUGGCAGGUUAUCACCAGCUGAGUUCAGUCUUUAAGCUAAUUUUUUUGGAAAAUAAAAUAUGCUAUUGAAUCAUAAAUAUCAAAAUUUUUUAAGGAGCGAAAAUCAAACUCCUUACUUACAAUCACAGAAGAAUGCACAUGAUAUUCCAAUUCAGGCUUUCGAGCAUAUUUUCGUUUUAUCAAAUACAACAUGUUUGUUGGGUAAAUUAACGAUAUAUACUUAAUAAAACAUAUCCGCGCAUUUCGUUCUGUAAAUUCAAACAACAUCGGACGUUCUUAUAAACUUUGAAAACUCAAGGGUUCAAGGCCAUUUUUGGGGUCCCUGAUGAAUAGCUAUAUAUUUCUCUGCGGUCACGUACCUCUAUGAUCGGACGGCCGGUGGAGUAGGCGAGGAAAGGUAGGAGGAAGGGGAGGAGGAAGUAUAGUGGUUUCCAAGCUAUGGUGGCAGCCAUGGAGAGUAAUUGAGAUUGGCUCGUUGGGGAGAAAGGAGGGAAAGAGAGCUGAUAUAUAUAGAGGAAAGGAGACUGGGUGUGGUCCCCACCGCUUGCUUAUCUUCGGGACUCUAUGCCCACGUUUAUAUUAAAUUAAAAUAUUAAAAUAUUAUAUUAUUUAUAUUAUUUAUUUUAAAUUAAAAUAUUAAAUUAAAAUAUUAAAAUAUUAAAAUAUUAUAAAACGUCUAUGCCCACGUUUUAAAUUUUAUAUUUAUAUUUUAAACUAAAAUAUUAUAUUAUAUAUUUUUUGUUUAGAUUUUAUAUUAAAAAUUAAAAUUCACAAUUUAAAUUAUUUUUUAAAAAAAAUUUAAUAAAAAAAUAUUAUUUAUAAACAGUAAAAAAAUUACUAAAUAUGACCGAGAGCUAUUUUNUUAAAAUAGAUUAUAUUUUAUUAUCAGUAUUAUUAAAUUUUUUAAAAUGAACAAAACAAAAGAAUUUUAUAUACACCGAAGGAAAUUGCCUGAUUAGCUUCAGCUCAUGAUUGAAAGGUUCCCCUUUAUAAUGGUUUUGUCAAGAAAGAUAUUACAUAUAUAUAGUAUUUUACUUAUAUACUAGAGUAUUAAUGUAUACAUAUUUUAUUUAUAAAUUUGUAAUUAUUUAUUAAUAUCUCUAAAUAUAGUAUUUUUUAUAUAUUACGUAAUAUAUUUAUUAUAAUUUUAAAUAUUUUAAUCUAGAAAUUAUAAUAAUAAAUUAUAUAUAUAAGUAUAUUAAUUGUUAUAUAUAUUAUUAUAAUAUAUAAUAAAAUAUAUAUUAAAUAGUAUAUAUUUUUUUUUCAACCAAAACAAUUGUCAUGAAAAAUUUUUUUUUUCUUACAAAACUAAACACUAAACAACGUAAAACUAUUUUUUCACGAAAAUUUUUUAUUAUCAUUUUUUUCACGAGAAAACUAACAAAGAAACUUUUAAGUUUAAAGAAUCAUACAUAUGAAUCAUGCUUCACAAGUUCUAAAAAAUUACUUUCCAAAUUUAGUCCACUUAAAAUUCUUAAAAAAAUAAGUUUACAAAAUUAGUCAUAAAGAAUUUGAAAUAAGAUUAAUUAUAUAUAAAAUAAUAAUUAUGUUAAAUUUCUAAUGAUUUGAACCUUUUUACCUUCUUCAUUUAAAAGUCUUUAUUUUAAAUUAUUUAGCUUACAUUCUAUUAGUAUAUCAUGAUAGUAUUAUUUUAAUUUGAUUCAAUAAUUUUUCUAAUAAUAAAAGCUUAAUAUGUAAAAAUUAAUAUAUAUAUUAUAAAAGUUGUCAUAAAAAGAUAUUAGAAAAACUAUAAUAAAUUAAAAAUUUGAAAUAAAAUUAAUUUUCUUCACCAUUUCAAAUAUGAGUAUUAAAAAUAAUAUAAAUAAUAAUUAUGUUAAAUUUCUAAUGGAUUUGAACUUUUUACUUCUCAUUUUAAAAUCUUUUUAUUUUAAAUUAUUUACCUUACAUUCUAUUAGUAUAUCAUGAUAGUAUUAUUUUAAUUUGAUUCAAAUAUUUUCUAAUAAAAGCUUAAUAUGCAAAAAAUUAAUAUAUAUUAUAUAAAAGUUGUCAUAAAAAGAUAUUAAAAAAACUUAAUAGUAAAAAUUAAUAUUAUAUAUUAUAUAAAAGAUGUAAUUUAAAAGAUAAAAUUAAAAUCCAUGCAUUGCACGGGUUAGUUGCUAGUUACUAAAUAAUACCGAGAGCUAUUUUAAAAUAUGAUUAUAUUUUAUUAUCAGUAUUAUUAAUUUUUUAAAAUGAACAAACAAAAGAAUUUUAUAUACACCGAAGGAAAUUGCCUGAUUAGCUUCAGCCUCAUGAUUGAAAGGUUCCCCUUUAUAAUGGUUUUGUCAAGAAAGAUAUACAAUAUAUAUAGUAUUUACUUUUAUAUUGUUAUAUUGGUUUUAGAUUUGUAGUUAUCUAAAUUGAGGUAAAUUCUAAUCUAAUUGGGAUUGAGAUAUUAUAGAUUUAAUUUGGCAUAUAUGAAUUAUAAUUAGGAGUAAUUCUAAUACUAAUUAGAAUUAGACUCUAGUUAGGAGACAUGUAUUAUAAAUACAUGCUACGGCCAAUUAAAGAAGUCGUGACAAAAAGAUUAAGAGCCAUGGAAAAAAAUUAAGGUGUUUGGUGCUCUGUCCGGUAAAGAAGCAGUCUCGACUCAAAAUUAAACUAUGCUGUAAUUAAGCUAUAUAUUUGAGGAUCAGAGUUGACCGACCAUGCAGGUUGGUCUCUAACGAGGAGCCGUAGCCUUAAUUAAGAGGUGAUGCUAUAUUAAAGUAUCUAUUGAGUCGAGCCAUCUCUUCUUUGAUGCUUAUGUCCGUACCACCAAACUGGGAGCGUGCGAGCGUGGUGGCGCUUCGUUAAGAGGUCGAGCAACUUAAGUUUUGUGACGGAUGCUAAUUGCAGCGUUUCGGAUCUAAUUAACGUUUUGGUCUUUUGAGAGAUCUUCUUUGUACUCCGCGCUUUCGACAUUAAUAAAUUAUUUGCUCCGUCUUCGCCCGUGGACGUAGGCCGUUGGCCGAACCACGUAAUUAUUGGUGUGUUCUUUCCUUAUCUUUUCUUUUCUUGCAUUAAGUUAUUUUCUGGAUCUAUUUUUCGCCGUUCCGAUUUUAACAUAUAUAGAGAUAUUAUUUUAUAAUAUUUUAUUUAUAAAUUUGUAAUUAUUUAUUAAUAUCUCUAAAUAUAUAUUUUUUUAUAUAUUAUGUAAUAUAUUUAUUAUAACUUUAAAUAUAUUUAAUCUAGAAAUUAUAAUAAUAAUAAUAUAUAUAGUAUAUUAAUUGUUAUAUAUUAAUAAUAAUAUAUAAUAAAAAUAUAUUAAAUAGUAUUUUUUUUUUUUCAACCAAACAAUUGUCAUGAAAUAUUUUUUUUUCUUACAAACUAAACACUAAACGACGUAAAACUAUUUUUUCACCGAAAAUUUUUUAUUAUCAUUUUUUUUUUUUCACAAUUUUUCCUAGAAUCAAACACAUGCUAAGGGAGCUGGUUGGAUUAUUGAGGCCAUGCAUGACCCAUGACAUGGGCGUGCUUAGACAAAUUUUAGCACAUGGGAGAGAAAAUUUGCUUUAGAAAAGAGUUCAAAAGGUCGAAGAAUCUUUCUUUUCAUCCUAACGGACAAAAGGGAAAUAUGUGUGUGCCGAGUGUACAAUGGCAUCUCUUAUUGCCAAAUUAGUACCCGCGCACUAUUGCUGAUCGAUUUCCCAAAAAUAAAUAAAAUUUAAAAAUUUAAAAAUAAUAAUUAUUAUAGUAAAUACAAAAAUAAAAAUGUAAGAAAGAUAAAAAAAAAAAAUAAAAAAAUCAUAAGAAUAAUAAAUUAUAUUUAUAACAGUAGUAGUUCGAAUCUGAAAUUACAGUUCAUUAAAGUUUGAGAACUAAAACUUCACAUACAUCAUACUUUGAGCAAGAAAAUAUAAGAAUUAAAAUUUGAGAACUAAAUUUUCAUGUGUCUUAUAGUUUGAGUAUCAAAAAUGUAAUUUGUUCUUUUUAUAUAUUUUAAUUUUAUUCCUGACAAGCAUAGAAUUGAGUAUCGAUCGGUUUUAUUCAAUUAGUAAUUUUAUUUGAGAAAAGAAUAUAUAUUAAAUUAUCUAAUAAAUUUUAAAAUGUCUAAUUGUUAAAAUUAAAAGUUGACCAAUCGAUCAUAUUUUGAAUAUUUUAAAAUAUUUUAACUGUGAAAUUGAUUGCUCAUUGAACUAUAAAUAUUGUAUUGAAGUUAAAUAUUAAAAUUAAAGUAAAAACGUACAAAAGUUUUAUUAUCUAACUUUUUUAUAUGUUAGACUUGAAUUAGUUAAUGAUACUUUGACUUCAAAAUUUAAAUUUAUCGUUUAGAUUUACAUAUUUAAUUAGUACUUCCUAUAGUUUUCACAACUAAAUUUAUUAAAUAAGUAAUUAACUUAAGCUUCAUCCACUGCUCUUUUAUUUUUUAUUAUAUAAUUUCUAUCUAAGUGAUCAAUAUAAUAAAAUUAAAUUUAUAUUUAAUAAUGCAAUCUAAACUUUUCUAGAGUGAAAUAAUGGAGAGAAACUUCUUACCAAAGGAAGUGAAUAUUGGGGAAAAAAAUUUUGCCAAUUUCUUUAGAGCUUUGUAUAAUUAUAGAUCACCACCUAAACUUUUGAAAUACAAAGAAACGUACUUCAAAGUUGGGGAUUUUCGUAACAAUUAAGAACAAUACUACACGUACACUUAUAAUGAAGAUAUAAAUCUUACACCAUAACAUUUAAAAGGCCAAUGUUUACUCAUUUGUCUUAUAAUUUUUUUUUUUAAUACUGCAAAUCCAAAAGAUUUUAGACCCUAGAAUUAUAGGUGUNAUAAAUUAUAUUUUAUUGUUAGAAUUAUUAAAUUUUAUAAAAUGAUUCAAAUAUAGAAAUUUGGGAAAACUUCAAAAACCUGUGGUUUCGUAGUUUCUUACUUUGCUCCCCUAUGGUUUAAAAUGUAUCAAUUUACCCCCCUGUGGUUUCUUUUUUCUCAUUUUCUUAUCAAUUUUAUUAUUUUUUUUCUUAAAUCAGUGAUAAAGUUAAAAUUAAAGGGUACUAAAGUGAAUAUUUAAUAAAUCUAGAUGAGUAAAAAUUUGGUGUCAUUGAGGAUAUAUAUACACAUGAAAGUUCCUAAAUUUAUUUUCUAUAAAGAGGUUUUUGACACUUGAAGUCUCACUCUUCUUUUAUGUUUUCUGCCUUAUUGCAGUUCAAGCAUAUGUAUGGCUCAAAAUGGAACUUUGCUUUAAUGAGAAAAACAUUUGAGGAUUUUAAUAAAACAUUUGUGAAGUACUCAUUUGAACAACCUUAAUUAUUUGCAAUAGCUCUUAUGCAAAACCUAAGGAUUUUUAAGUUAUCUUCUAUCUUUUAAAAUAUAUUUUGACGAAUGGCAGUUAGGCGGCCAAGCAGACCCUUAAAAAUUUAACAUCAACCCCACAAUCUUGAAAUAGGUUACAUAAACAAAAGGAGAUUGAUAAUGUCCAAGAGAUGCUUAAGAUCGUGUUUAAUUAUUGUAUUCUUUAAGCAAGAAGACUUUUGUGUCAAGUUUUGCUUUUGGAAUAAUGUGGUGUACUAUUAUUAUGAAGCAUCUCCCGGAAUCAAUUUCUAUAUGGUGUUGGUACAUUCAUUUAUCUGGAAACCAAUCGUAAAGCUAGGGCACUCAAUAUUUUACAAACAAUGAUGUGUAAAGAUGGGGUUUAUGUAAAGAAAGGGUACCAUUAUGAAAGAGGAGUGAUGCUUAAUUGAGAGUAUGUAAAAGGAUGGCCCUCCACUAAGGCCAUAGUGGUUGAUGGAUAACACCUUUGGUUGAGAACCUAGAAAUAUCUGAGCUGCCAAAUUUGAAGUGUUAGGGGAAUGUGCACCGGUUGUGAAUUUUUUACCUAUAAGAUUUUUUUUUUUUUUUGGGUGCAUAUUUUUUUAUUAUAUUAUCCCAAUAAGUUGGGUUGGAUUAUAAUUAUAGACAUUAGGUGCUUGGUUCAAAAUUAGAAUCUGUAUCGAAAUCGGAAUAAGAAUAAGUUGGAAAUGGAAUCAGAAUGAUUUGUUACCUUAUUCUAUUUGGUUCGUUGCCUGAAUCGGAAUCAGAAACAGAAUAAACUAUUCCCAUUGUCGGUGUUUGGUUCAGAUAUAUAUCAAAAAUGUAAUCAAAUUAAUUUGCCAAUUUUAUCUUUAUAAUAUAUUAUUUUAAAUUCAAAUUAAAAAUUAAAUAUUAAAAAUUUACGUCAAAAUUUUAAAUAAUUUUUUUUCAUAGUUUUAUGUAGAAUCAAACACAUGCUAAGAGAGUAGGUGUUGGAUCGUUGGCGCUAAUCAUUAAUCCCAAAAGAUCGAGCUGUUAGAAAUACACAACCAAUUCACUUAAAGCGUACAGAAACAGCGCCCACGGGUCUUGAUUAUGACUCGGCCCACAUGGUUUCACACUAUUUCGAACAUGACUCGGCCCAAUCCAGCCCCAUGCCAUUUCGAACAUGACUCGGCCCACAUGGCCUCCGGCCACAGGGCAGGAUGCUGGCUCAUUUAAGCCAACAAUCCCCCCUCCAGCAUCUGCACACAUUUGCAGCAUGCGAAAAUCGAACCCGUGACCACUGGCUCUGAUACCACUUGUCGGAUCGUUAGUGCUAAUCAUUAAUCUCAAAAGCUCGAGCUGUUAGAAAUACGCAACCAAUUCACUUAAAGCGUAUAGGAACAGCGCCCACGGGUCUCGAUUGUGACUCGGCCCACCUGGCCUCAUGCCACUUCGAACAUGACUCGGCCCAACCCAACCUCACGCCAUUUCGAACAUGACUCGACCCACAUGGUCUCCCAUCAUAGAGUAAAAUGCUGGCCCAUUUAAACCAACAGCAGAUUAUAUUAUUGAUGCUAUGCAUGACAUGACAUGACAUGACAUGCACGAGCUUAGACAAAUUUUAGCACACAGGGAAGAGAAAAUUUGCUUUAGAAAAGUGUUCAAAAGUAGAAGAAUUUUUAUUUUCAUCCUAACGGACAAAAGGGAAAUGAGUGUGCCGAGCGUACAAUGGCAUCUCUUAUUGCCAAAUUACUACCAGCGUACGGCUGCAGAUCGAUUUCGUAAAAAUAAAUAAAUUUAAAAAAUUUAAAAAAUAGUAACUGUUACAGUAAAAUAUAAAAAUAAAAGUAUAAAAAAGAUAAAAAAAUAAGAAAAAAAUUAUAAGAAUAAUAAAUUAUAUUUAUAACGGUAGUAGUUCGAAUAUAAAAUUGCAGUUCAUUAAGACUGCGUUUGGUUGGAGAACUAAAUUUUGGAGAACAACUUUUAUUGUUUCCGAGAACAAGGGAUAUUCUGUUACAAGAUAGAACAAUUGUAAAUUUAUGUUUGGAUGCAUUCGAGAAUAUUCUAGAGGAUAUCUUUAAUAGCUUUUGUAUAAAAAGUCUAGAACAACAUCUAAAUAUGUUUUUAAAAAUAAAAUAAUUAAUUUAUAUUAUUAUAUUUUAUAUAAAAUUAUUUCAUAUAGUAAUUUAUAAUAUAAUAUUUUAUGUAAGAAUCUAAUUUAAAAUAGUAUAUUUUAUUUUAUUAUAUAUAAUAAUUUAUUUUAUGUAAUAAUUUAUUUUAUAUAAUUUAUUCAUAAUAUAUAAAUAAAUAAAGUAUAAUACUAACAAUAUCCCUAUAAUUUUAAUUAAUAAUUAGUAUAAAUUUCAAAACAAAUUACAAUAUAUAUAAUAUAUGAAAAAAUAAUUUUAUGUAUAUAAUAAUUAAUAUCAAAUAAAAUAAUUAAAUAUUAAUAUAUAAAUGUUAAAACUUAAUAAAAUAAAAAAUAUAUCAAAUUUAAUUAAUUUAUAUUAUAUAAUAAAAUUUAAGUAUAAAUAUAUUAUCAUAAAAAUAAUAUUUCUAUUAAUAUAUUUAUUUAUUAAAUUUGAGCAUUCAUUUAUUUAAUUUAUUAUUUGAAAUUAAUUAAAAUAAAGUAUAAAAAAAAGAGCAUAAUAGAAAAAAAAGAAGAAAAAAAAAGGCAAACAAUUGUUGUUCCAGCUUGUUCUCCAUGUUUGGAAGAAUAAGCUUAACGGGUUGUUCUGUUCUCAGAACAACCCGUUAAGCCCGGAACAACUUUGCUGUCCCAUUUUGCAUUAUGUUUGGGGAGAUAAAGAGAGAUAUCCCGUUUUGUUCUGGAAUAUUCCUCUAACCAAACGCAGCCUAAAGUUUGAGAACUAAAGCUUCACAUACCUCAUUCUUUAAAAUUGAGGACUAAAUUUUCAUGUGUCUUAUAGUUUGAGGAUCAAAAGCGUAAUUUAUUUUUUUUAUAUUUUAAUUUUAUUCUAGACAAACACAGAAUUGAGUAUCCAUCGAUUUUAUUCAAUUUGUAAUUUCAUUUGAGAAAAAAAUAUAUUAAAUUAUAUAAUAAAAUUUAAAAUUACUAAUUGUUAAAAUUAAAAGUUGACCAAUCGAUCAUAUUUUGAAUAUUUCAAAAUAUUUUAAAUAUGAAAUUGAUCGCUUAUCAAACUAUAAAUAUGAUAUUGAAGUUGGAUAGUAAAAUUAAAUUAAAAAUGUACAAAAGUUUUUUGAACUACGAAUCAUUUUGGAUCAUAUAUUCAACCUUUCAAAUUUUUAUUUUUACUAUCUAACAUUCUUAUAUGUUAAAUUUGAUUCAGUUAAUGAUAAUUUCACUUCAAAAUUUGAAUUUAUCGUUUAACGUUUACAGAUUUAAUUAGUAUAAUUCAUAUAAUUUUUGCAACUAAAUUUAUUAAAUAAGUAAUUAACUUAAACUUCAUCCAUCGGUCUUUUAUUUUUUAUUGUAUAAUGUUUAUCUAAGUGUCCAAACACUUGAAUUAUCUUGCAUAUUAUAUAAAAUUAUAAGUUUAUCUCGCCAACCACCCCAAACCUUUUCAAUACGCAAGUUUUAAAAUUUAAAUUUUAAAUUGUUAAAUUAUUAUAUUUUAAAUUUUAAAUUUUAAAUUUAAGUUUUUAUUUUAAAUUUUAAAUUUCAAAUUUUAAUUUUUAAAUUUUUAAUUUUUAAAUUUUAAAUUUAUAUUUUAAAUUAAAAUAUUAAAUUUUAUUUUUUUGUUUAGAUUUUAUAUGCAAAAUUAAAAUUCAAAUUUUAGAUUAUUUUAAGAUAAAAUUUAAUAAAAAAUUAUUAUUUGUUAACAGUAAAAAAAAUUACUAAAAUAUGACCGAGCGCUAUUUUGGAAUAGAUUAUAGGAUUAUUAAAUUUUAUAAAAUGAACCAAAUAUAAAAAUUUUAUAAACACUGUAAUUCAUAAUAUUAUUACUGUAUUAAAUUAAAAAUUUUAAAUAUCUAAUUACGUCGAAAUAAUUUGUAAUAUUAUAUAGUGCGAACCAAAACGAAUGCUUAAAUCUUAAUCAGUGUGGGAAAGAACAGGUAAAAAGGAAUACCCACGAGGGAUUUUAGGGAGUCCGUGUGUGAUUUUGUGCUCCUGGGCGGGGUGGAGCUGGAUGAGGUGCGUCUCCUAAUCCGUGUUAUUAAUGUAAAAAAAAAUGAACUAUGCUGCGAAGGAAAUUGCCUAAUUAGCUUCUGCUCAUGAUUGAAAGGGUCUCCUUUAUAAUGGUUUUGUCCAGAAGAUAUUAUAUAUAUAGUAUUUUAUUUUUAUAUAAAAAUAUUAUUAUAUAAUAUUUUAUUUAUAAAUAUAUAAUUAUUCAUUAAUAUCUUUAAAUAUAUAACACUUAUAUAUUAUGUAAUAUGUUUAUUACAAUUUUAAAUAUAUUUAAUAUAUAUAUAGAAGUUAAAACAAUAUUAUAUAUAGUAUAAUAUUAUAUUAAUUGUUAUCUAUUAAUAAUAUAUAUAAUAAAAAUAUAUUAAAUAGUUUUUAUUUUUUUUAACCAAACAACCGUUAUGAAAAAAAAAAAAAAAAAUUCUUACAAAUUAAACACUAAACUAAACGAUGUUAAAUUAUUUUUCCACCAAAACUCUUUUUUCAUCGAAAUUUUUUUUUCUACAAUUUUACGUAGAACCAAACACCCUAAUGUAUCGUUUGGUUCGAGUAUAAGUAAGAACCGGCUAUUAUAGGGAUAACUACAAGUUUAGGUAUAAGCAAAAACUAGACCAACUUUACGUUUGGAUGAAAUUUGGUUGUUCCGAGAAUAAGAAAAAUAACGUUUGAUUAGAUAAAAUGGAAUAAGAAAAAUAGUGGGUAGUUAUAAAUAGAAAAAUGGUGGGUAGUUAUUAUCCCUCUUAUUAUAUUUGAAUUUGAAUUUUUAAACUUUUUAUUUUUAUUUUUAAAAUUUAAAUUUUAACUUUUAAAUUUCAAAAUCUAAAAUUAAACUCUCAACUUUUAAAUUUUAAAAUUUAAAUUUUAAAAUAUAAAUAUCAAAAUUUAAAUUUAAAAAUAUAAAAUAUAAAAUUAAAAUUUAAAAUUUAAAAUUUAAAAUUAUAAACUUGAAUUUUGAAAUUACAAAUUAAAAAAAUUUUAAAUUAUUAAAAAAAAUUUUUUAAAAAAAUAGAGGUGGGAACAGCUUGUUCCCACCACUAUUCCACCUAAGAGCAGGAACAAGCUAUUUCCGCCUUUAGCAGAUUAUCCCCACCCUUAGUAGGUUAUCCUGAUAUAACCUGCUAAGGGCGGGAAUAACUUAUUCCCAUCCUUAGAUAUAGUGUUUGGGGAACAAAACGGAAUAACCCCUUAUCUCCAUCCUUAUUUUUCAACCAAACAAGGCUUCACGUAGGGGGGAGAGAAAAUUUGCUUAUUAUACCGGGGAUAUUGGUUUGGAAAUUAGUAGGAACUAGUUAUACCGGGGAUAGGUAGAAGUAUGGGUUUUUGUAAGAAUAGGAUAUUUUUUUGUUUGGAUGAAAUUGUGAAUAUAAGCUGGAACUAGAAAAAUUAUGUUUGGAUGGUUAUUGGGAAUAACAGAAAUGAUUUUUUUUUUUUUUUGAGAGAUAGGUAGUACGCUACCGUUUCGUUUAUUUCAUUUAGAAAUAAACUUAACUGAAAAUGUGAAUAAAUUAGGAUUCGAACUUGGGUCUCGAAUACCAACCACCAAGCCCUUUGCCACUUGCUUUAGAGACGGUCAAUGAAAUAGUUGAUGGUUAUAAAUAGAAAAUAAUGAUAUUACCCCUAUAAUUAAAUUUAAAAUUUAAAAUUUUAAACUUAUAAUUUUAAAUUUAAAAUUUAAACUUUUAAAUUUUAAAAUUUAAAAUUAAAAUUAAAAUUUUAAAUAACAAAAUUUAAAUUUAAGACCAAAUUUAAAUUUAAAAUAUAUAAAAUAUCAAAUUUAAAAUUUAAAAUUUAAAAAUUUAUAAUAAAAAAUUUAAAUUUAAAACUUUAAAUUUUACAAUUUUUAAUUUUAAUUUUAAAAUUAUAAAAUUUAAAAUUCUAAAUUUUAAAACAAAACUCUCUCACUCUCUCUCUCU
Molecule: long non-coding RNA, 43978 nt
Filed under: Ananas comosus (pineapple)
Lineage: Eukaryota; Viridiplantae; Streptophyta; Magnoliopsida; Poales; Bromeliaceae
Description: long non-coding RNA (ACOM_LNC010972)
Source: RNAcentral